Molecule: ribosomal RNA, 1029 nt
Filed under: Klebsiella variicola
Lineage: Bacteria; Pseudomonadati; Pseudomonadota; Gammaproteobacteria; Enterobacterales; Enterobacteriaceae
Description: bacterial SSU rRNA
Rfam family: Bacterial small subunit ribosomal RNA
Source: RNAcentral
UGCAGUCGAGCGGUAGCCAGAGAGCUUGCUCUCGGGUGACGAGCGGCGGACGGGUGAGUAAUGUCUGGGAAACUGCCUGAUGGAGGGGGAUAACUACUGGAAACGGUAGCUAAUACCGCAUAACGUCGGAAGACCGAAGUGGGGGACCUUCGGGCCUCAUGCCAUCAGAUGUGCCCAGAUGGGAUUAGCUAGUAGGUGGGGUAACGGCUCACCUAGGCGACGAUCCCUAGCUGGUCUGAGAGGAUGACCAGCCACACUGGAACUGAGACACGGUCCAGACUCAUACGGGAGGCAGCAGUGGGGAAUAUUGCACAAUGGGCGCAAGCCUGAUGCAGCCAUGCCGCGUGUGUGAAGAAGGCCUUCGGGUUGUAAAGCACUUUCAGCGGGGAGGAAGGCGAUAAGGUUAAUAACCUUGUCGAUUGACGUUACCCGCAGAAGAAGCACCGGCUAACUCCGUGCCAGCAGCCGCGGUAAUACGGAGGGUGCAAGCGUUAAUCGGAAUUACUGGGCGUAAAGCGCACGCAGGCGGUCUGUCAAGUCGGAUGUGAAAUCCCCGGGCUCAACCUGGGAACUGCAUUCGAAACUGGCAGGCUAGAGUCUUGUAGAGGGGGGUAGAAUUCCAGGUGUAGCGGUGAAAUGCGUAGAGAUCUGGAGGAAUACCGGUGGCGAAGGCGGCCCCCUGGACAAAGACUGACGCUCAGGUGCGAAAGCGUGGGGAGCAAACAGGAUUAGAUACCCUGGUAGUCCACGCCGUAAACGAUGUCGAUUUGGAGGUUGUGCCCUUGAGGCGUGGCUUCCGGAGCUAACGCGUUAAAUCGACCGCCUGGGGAGUACGGCCGCAAGGUUAAAACUCAAAUGAAUUGACGGGGGCCCGCACAAGCGGUGGAGCAUGUGGUUUAAUUCGAUGCAACGCGAAGAACCUUACCUGGUCUUGACAUCCACAGAACUUUCCAGAGAUGGAUUGGUGCCUUCGGGAACUGUGAGACAGGUGCUGCAUGGCUGUCGUCAGCUCGUGUUGUGAAAUGUUGG